Non-coding RNA from Citrus sinensis (sweet orange), 88 nucleotides. The record is from Rfam. NCBI's taxonomy places the organism in Eukaryota, Viridiplantae, Streptophyta, Magnoliopsida, Sapindales, Rutaceae.
AGCAAUCAUUGAUGAAAUUAGACUGAUAAUUCCUGAUUUUUCAUUGAUUAGCACAGCAAUUAAUCACCAUCUUUCGGCUCACAUUGCU